This is a long non-coding RNA of Dreissena polymorpha, 657 nucleotides long. RefSeq lists it as uncharacterized. NCBI's taxonomy places the organism in Eukaryota, Metazoa, Mollusca, Bivalvia, Myida, Dreissenidae. The transcript has 2 exons. The record is from RefSeq and is a predicted model, not a curated record.
CGCACGCACCGCCUUGUUAGUGUGUCACUGCUUUGUACGAAUAUGUAUUGUAUUUUGUACUGUAAGUGAAAUCGGAAAUACCGUUUUAACGUUACGUAGUUGCUUUUUAGAGCUCGACCUGUACUUGUCGAAAUCUCGGAGUUAUUGGUAAAGACUGAUUGCUGUCUGGUGACAAUCAUAAUUCGAAACUCCAGAAUCCCAAAGAAUAUACAAUGGACACCAAAGCGGCUAUCUUGAUGGUGGUUGUGCUGCUCGCCGUAACCUCAGCCUCGCCGUUGCGUGGGUCCAACAGAAUGGCCUGUAGACAGCAGUGCAUGGAGACCUUUCAUUUGUGUAUUAGUCCUUGUCGAAAGUCGCCAAUGCAUAUGCCGCAAAAUUGCGAGGGUAGGGUUUGCCACGAGGAAAUGGGGCUGUGUCUUCGCAGCGUGUGUCACCUUAAAUGGCAUUCGGGUGUUUAACAUUAUGUAAUCCGCCAUUAUGAAAACUUUACAGAGGAAAAAAUGCUGAACGAUGCUUCAUAUUAAACUAUGUAUUUGCUACUCGUGAUGAUAUUUAAAAUAUGUAUCUUCUACGAAAUUCAAUUUUCUAACAAUUUAUACUAUAUCUUUGAUUUUUGUCAAACAUAUUUUAAACUCAAUAAACAAAAGCUUAAUUUUA